This 69-nucleotide transfer RNA is filed under the name Cynopterus sphinx (Indian short-nosed fruit bat). RNAcentral describes it as "tRNA-Cys". It matches the Rfam family "tRNA". Rfam says of the family: Transfer RNA (tRNA) molecules are approximately 80 nucleotides in length. Their secondary structure includes four short double-helical elements and three loops (D, anti-codon, and T loops). Further hydrogen bonds mediate the characteristic L-shaped molecular structure. tRNAs have two regions of fundamental functional importance: the anti-codon, which is responsible for specific mRNA codon recognition, and the 3' end, to which the tRNAs corresponding amino acid is attached (by aminoacyl-tRNA synthetases). tRNAs cope with the degeneracy of the genetic code in two manners: having more than one tRNA (with a specific anti-codon) for a particular amino acid; and 'wobble' base-pairing, i.e. permitting non-standard base-pairing at the 3rd anti-codon position. The record is from RNAcentral. Lineage: Eukaryota; Metazoa; Chordata; Mammalia; Chiroptera; Pteropodidae.
AGUCUCGUAGUGUUAAAUUACAUGCUGAAUUGCAAAUUCAGAGAAGCAGCUUCAAUCCUGCCAGGACUU